AUGACAGCUUUUUUGAUACCAAGUAUUCUUACAACUAUUGUGAUUUGUCAAAUUAACAUAUUUUUGAACUCAUCUUUGCUAUUUACCAUUUUCUGCUUAAAAGGAAUCACGUCCAAAUCCGAUAUGUCACUAGUCUACUCAAGAUUUGCGGCAGAUAUCGGUUAUAGUUGUUCAAGGCAACUGUGAUACUGGGGAUCAUUCGAACAAGUUUGUUAUUUAUAAUUUCAUUGGAUCGAAUAAUUGCUCUAUUUUCUUCUCAAUUUUACAACCCAAAUCGUCGAAAGCUUCCAUUGUCUGUCAUUUUCCUUAUCAUAUCCAGCUCGAUAGCUUUUGAUCAUUUUAUAAUGUUCGGAUAUUGUGAGAAUGUCAUAGAUACUCCAAUCGACUGCGAUAGUGCCAGAUGUUGUUAUAAUGCGUGUUAUGCUCACUUUUGGAUUUCACGGGAACAAGUUAUGUUCUGUUGUAUAGUUAUGAUGACAGUUUUGUUAUCAUUGAAGCUAGUAGUUUGCACAUACUUCACACAUAAUCAACACGCUCGAAUUUUGUCAAGAGCUGUGCGGUAUUCAACAACACUACCAUUUUAUGAUGAUUUCUUCUUGAACAAAAAAAAACCUACAAAAAACUGCAUCGUUUUCCUCUCCAUGACAAUUGAAGAACAAAAUGAGUUUUUUGUUGACUGAACACAUUUUUUCAGGCAACUCAAAUAGCAAUGAUUGACUCCACUACUCUUAUUUUAUUCAACCUUAUUCCAAUUCUAACUCAUGUUUGGUUUGCGUCUUCAGAUUAUCAAACAUACGCGUCUAUUACUACUCUAUCCAGAAAUCUCGGAUUUUUAAUGAAUACCUUAAUUAUUUUUCGAAUACUUAUGAGAGACAAAAAACAUGUGGUGCCUUUGAAGAUUUCUUCAUGA
Molecule: unclassified non-coding RNA, 910 nt
Filed under: Caenorhabditis elegans
Lineage: Eukaryota; Metazoa; Nematoda; Chromadorea; Rhabditida; Rhabditidae
Description: long non-coding RNA NONCELT024790
Source: RNAcentral